GGUAAUCUUGUUAAACCCUGUCGUGCUGGGGAUAGAGCAUUGCAAUUAUNGCUCUUCAACGAGGAAUGCCUAGUAGGCACGAGUCAUCAGCUCGUGCCGAUUACGUCCCUGCCCUUUGUACACACCGCCCGUCGCUACUACCGAUUGAAUGGCUCGGUGAGGCCUUCGGACUGGCUCAGGGGGGUUGGCAACGACCCCCCAGAGCCGGAAAGUUGGUCAAACCCGGUCAUUUAGAGGAAGUAAAAGUCGUAACAAGGUUUCCGUAGGUGAACCUGCGGAAGGAUCAUUA
RNAcentral lists this ribosomal RNA (289 nucleotides) under Aspergillus salinarum. RNAcentral describes it as "Phialosimplex salinarum partial 18S ribosomal RNA". It matches the Rfam family "Eukaryotic small subunit ribosomal RNA", at positions 1545 to 1831 of the family's 1831-position model. The record is from RNAcentral. Lineage: Eukaryota; Fungi; Ascomycota; Eurotiomycetes; Eurotiales; Aspergillaceae.